UACAGUGUAUCGCGUGCGCGAGAGGAUAAAACCGCUGCGAUAUCAGGUUACAAGUAUCAUCAUAAACAAACCUGACACCCUCCAUUCAUUUAGGCGCUUCUAAUCUAUAGUUCAUUAAAUCUGCGCACUUGUUUUAUCCGAUUCCUCCGAGUCAUCAGAUCCGGAUGAUGCGCUCCCCGGCGUGCUAAGGUGGCUGGGCGGUCCUGACUGUCUCCUACGUCGGAAAGGCUUCUAAUUGGCUUAAAAGUGACGUCAUCAUUUCUCGCUGGCUCGCGGGACAGUGAGCGCCAAGACUUUGCAAACCCGCUCGUAUUUGAGAUUCCCGGUAUCCUUUACCGGUUUCGAAGGUAUAAAUAGCAAGCGAUACAUCUCGGCCUCAUUUUGACCAAGUAUGGCGGCUUUCCAGUGAUUUCAUGGCAAACGGUGAGUAAAUUUCGAACUAGCGCCUGCUUACUUGCUCGUUUCUAUGAGAGAACACGGAACUCACCGACCUCGACAUAUUUAAUUCCUGCUUUUUUUAACGCCUAGAGAACCCAUCUUUUGAGGAAUCCCCGGAAAUUUCGAUGUGCUCGCAGUUUUCGGCUAAUGCUCGCAUGCUCGCCCAUUUUUCCCGCCGUGCUCGCAUUGUAUUUUUCCAUGUGCUAGCUGCUCGAUUUAUUCAACAACUAAAAAUGCUCGGUCUCGCAUAAAAAACGGGGUGCUCGCAAGUGCUCACCAAAGACCAUUCAAAGGCCCUCAUAUAAGAUCAUGCAUCCUCUAGGGGUGGCGGAGCUGGCUUUUUUAAAGGGCUCAAGAAAAAAUUCAGAGAAACAAAUUUGCAUUGCGUAUGAAUAAAAAAGUUGGUACACAGAGAGGUCUGGGGGCAUGCUUCUAUUUUCAGGGAAAGAGUAAGACAAGACUAUCGACGAAAGCAUUGAAGCUAGAUGCCCUUAUAUGGCCAUCGGUUAAGAUAUACAGAAAAUAUUACCAGAAAACCAUCAGAACGAGGAGCUACGCAAUCCGCCCUUUCCCUUGAUGCACCCUUAAUUCCUUAUCUUGUUGAGUUGUCAUCUUAUCAGUUUAUAUUAACUGAUAAGAGUGGAGUUCUUAGACGCAUUGUAGGAACAAUUAGCACAAAAUAACUAAACAAAAGUGUACCAGUAGCAUCCUCCCCAUUUUUCAAUUGUUUGAUUUUUGUUCAUUUUAGUGAAAGUCAUUGCAUAAUGAAAAGUCUUUUUCACAUAAGAGACGGCCGGAACUCAGUGGCUAUAAAUUCUCGAAGGGUGCGUGGAAAAAUAUUGGUAGAACCAACUAAACGCUCUUUGCGUGCGUUUUUGUUUUUGCAAGAAUAGAGUUUGUCUUUAUCAGAUUCUGCUUUUUUGAUAACUGGCAGCAGAGGAAACUAAAUAUCUGGUGAUUUGCGUGGAAAGUGUUAAAGAUGUGAAUAAAUGGUCACAGCACUAGAACUCACUACGCGAGAGGAGCCACACGCUCCAUCUAGAUUUCGCUCCUAAGGCAAAAUCUAGAUGGCAAGCAUACGAAGGGAGCCACACGGGUUAAGGCGAGUUCUAGAUGGCAAGCAUACGAGGGGAGCCGUACGAGUUAAGGCGAGUUCUGGAUGGCAAGUAUGCAAAGGGAGCCACACGGGUUAAGGCGAGUUCUAGAUGGCAAGCAUACGAGGGGAGCCGUACGAGUUAAGGCGAGUUCUAGAUGGCAAGCAUACGAGGGGAGCCGUACGAGUUAAGACGAGUUCUAGAUGGCAAGUAUACGAAGGGAGCCACACGAGUUAAGGCGAGUUCUAGAUGGCAAUCAUACGAGGGGAGCCACACGGGUUAAGGCGAGUUCUAGAUGGCAAGUAUGCAAAGGGAGCCACACGAGUUAAGGCGAGUUCUAGAUGGCAAUCAUACGAGGGGAGCCACACGGGUUAAGGCGAGUUCUAGAUGGCAAUCAUACGAAGGGAGCCACACGAGUUAAGGCGAGUUCUAGAUGGCAAGUAUGCAAAAGGAGCCACACGAGUUAAGGCGAGUUCUAGAUGGCAAGUAUGCGAAGGGAGCCAUAUUUUAAGGGAUCAUUAAAGGUCCUUCUAGCAAUGGUUAAACGUACCUGUAUACUCCGAGAGGAAAUCCCCAGCAAACGAGCGAGUUGUCCGCAGGUUGACGCAUCAAUAUAUGCAGAUGAUGAGAACGUCUCGUUCAAAACUUGCGUUUGGUAGGGUGUAAAUCGAGUGCGGGUGAUUUGAGAGUUGGCCCGAUUAUUCAUCCUCAUAUUCUCUCCAUAUGAAUUCUCGUCUUCUGUAAAGAAAAAGAAGCGAUGUUUAGAGAUAAGUGUAGAUUCUCACUUUUGCUUUAAACUCUUAAGAACAUGAUUAUCUAUACAAGUCAAUUGCUUCCAUCGACUUCUCACGGUUUUGUUUUGCUGAGACGACUAUAGACCACAAAA
Molecule: long non-coding RNA, 2418 nt
Organism: Nematostella vectensis (starlet sea anemone)
Lineage: Eukaryota; Metazoa; Cnidaria; Anthozoa; Actiniaria; Edwardsiidae
Exons: 2
Source: RefSeq, a predicted model, not a curated record